Molecule: transfer RNA, 76 nt
Filed under: Saccharopolyspora rectivirgula
Lineage: Bacteria; Bacillati; Actinomycetota; Actinomycetes; Pseudonocardiales; Pseudonocardiaceae
Also listed under: 14 other names
Description: tRNA-Lys
Rfam family: tRNA
About the family: Transfer RNA (tRNA) molecules are approximately 80 nucleotides in length. Their secondary structure includes four short double-helical elements and three loops (D, anti-codon, and T loops).
Source: RNAcentral
GGGCCGUUAGCUCAACUGGCAGAGCAGCGGACUUUUAAUCCGCGGGUUCAGGGUUCGAUCCCCUGGCGGCCCACCA